AUUGAACGCUGGCGGAAUGCUUUACACAUGCAAGUCGAACGGCAGCACGGGGGCAACCCUGGUGGCGAGUGGCGAACGGGUGAGUAAUACAUCGGAACGUGCCCGGUCGUGGGGGAUAACGUAGCGAAAGUUACGCUAAUACCGCAUACGAUCUGAGGAUGAAAGCGGGGGACCUUCGGGCCUCGCGCGAUCGGAGCGGCCGAUGUCAGAUUAGGUAGUUGGUGGGGUAAAGGCCUACCAAGCCGACGAUCUGUAGCUGGUCUGAGAGGACGACCAGCCACACUGGGACUGAGACACGGCCCAGACUCCUACGGGAGGCAGCAGUGGGGAAUUUUGGACAAUGGGCGCAAGCCUGAUCCAGCCAUUCCGCGUGCAGGACGAAGGCCUUCGGGUUGUAAACUGCUUUUGUAUGGAACGAAAAGGCUCUGGCUAAUACCUGGGGCUCAUGACGGUACCCUAAGAAUAAGCACCGGCUAACUACGUG
This 484-nucleotide ribosomal RNA is filed under the name uncultured bacterium. RNAcentral describes it as "partial 16S ribosomal RNA". It matches the Rfam family "Bacterial small subunit ribosomal RNA", at positions 30 to 507 of the family's 1533-position model. The record is from RNAcentral.